RNAcentral lists this long non-coding RNA (320 nucleotides) under Equus caballus (horse). RNAcentral's name for it is "lncRNA (ENSECAG00000051306.1)". Lineage: Eukaryota; Metazoa; Chordata; Mammalia; Perissodactyla; Equidae. The record is from RNAcentral.
GUGAACGCGAUCUCCUCGGCUCUCCUGAACAACCUACUGGGGGCAUGAAAGCAGCAGGACUGGUCUUGGGAGAAGCUUGUCCACCAGGUCCUGAAGCCGGAGGAUGUUCUUGCGGUCCUCCUCGGCCUGCAAACACAGCACCCGUGCAGGGCCCAAACCCACUGCGGCUUCCGAUGGGGUCUGAGCAGCAAAGCGCUUGGGGAGGUUUCUGAGACCUCUACCUGAUGAGAAGACUGAGGCACAAGAGGAUAAGCAACUUGCUCGAGGUCACACAGCUGUCAAAUGGAGGAUCGAGGAUGUAAACCCAGAGAUCUGGUUCC